RNAcentral lists this ribosomal RNA (762 nucleotides) under Triticum aestivum (bread wheat). RNAcentral's name for it is "partial small subunit ribosomal RNA". Lineage: Eukaryota; Viridiplantae; Streptophyta; Magnoliopsida; Poales; Poaceae. The record is from RNAcentral.
AUGGCCACUACGAGUGCUUGCCCACUCUGUGGAGGGCAGGACAGCUGGUGACAUUCCUUGCUGGAUUGUAAUGUGUCUCGGUGCGUGUGGGCACUGUCAGAGGCCGAGCUGGUCGAGCACAUGUUGGCAACAUCGGAACCAGACGCAAGGCUAUGGCUCUUUGCUAUGAAUGAGUCUCUUCCAACGGAGCAAUUUUCGUUGAUGAUCGUUACUUUGUGGGUUAUCUGGAGUGCACGGCGGAAGGAGAACACCCAGGGGACAGCAGUACCACGACCACGUAGGUGGAUUCCGCCACCCACAGACCACUUCAAGCUCAAUGUGGACGCUGCCGUGUCCCGCUCGGGCAUGUUUGGCGCGGUCGGUGUGGUUUGCAGGGAUGCGAGGGGUUUGUUCAUGGGAGCUUCGGCCCUCGUUCUCAGGGGACUCCGCAACCCCCAGGUGCUAGAAGCACUAGCUGUACGGGAGGCACUGGCACUUUCAGAUGAUCUCUACAUCAACCAAAUACUGGUGGCCUCGGAUUGUAAGGUGGUGGUAGAUGCGAUCAUGCAAGGAAGCUCAGCAGACUUUGGUGCCAUUGUCCAAGAGAUCAAGGCCAGAGCAACUACCUUCAUUUCAUGUUCGUUUAAUCAUGAGUAUAGGACCUCCAACACGGAGGCCCAUAAUCUCGCAAAGCAUGCUUUAUCUUUAGGGUUUGGCCGUCACACCUGGCUAGGCCAGCCCGGCGACCUUCUCUUUGUACCUAUGAAUAUUCUGAUUCAGUAA